UGCUAAUUGAAAAAGUGCACCUGAGGAAUUUCACCUGUUUUUCCUCAGUACCUUUACCUAGUUUAGGUGAUAAGAUCCAGGACUUUAAAUCCCAACCUGACGCCACAGCGGGAUGAGACUUGGAGGUCUUUGAAGGGCUGCCACGAAGUCCAGCUAGAGGAAUCCCAAGUAUGGUUUAAAUCCUCCACUUGAUUCCCAGCAUCAACCCUCAGCCAUGGAGGAGCUACCAUUGCCAACCUUGACUAAGUCCAGUCAAGUUUUGGAUAGCCAUGGUACCAUCUGACAUAGGAGACAUCAAAUGAGGACCAUCUAUCUGUUGCCAACUACCCAAGGACCAUGAAAGGAUUAAAGGCAUUUCUUUGGAAUUGACAUAUUAUUCAUGAGAUCUUUGUAUGCAAAAGAGGUGAUUAACCACUGAGAAAACAACAAACAACUCUGUGGAUACAUGGAAGGCUGUGGAGGUGAGGACCUAGAAUGGAGAAAGCAAGAAACACCUGGAGCUCUGCUGCUGAAGUGA
RNAcentral lists this long non-coding RNA (517 nucleotides) under Heterocephalus glaber (naked mole-rat). RNAcentral describes it as "lncRNA (ENSHGLG00000036139.1)". The record is from RNAcentral. Lineage: Eukaryota; Metazoa; Chordata; Mammalia; Rodentia; Bathyergidae.